Ktedonobacter racemifer DSM 44963 is the source of this 234-nucleotide non-coding RNA. It matches the Rfam family "HNH endonuclease-associated RNA and ORF (HEARO) RNA". Lineage: Bacteria; Bacillati; Chloroflexota; Ktedonobacteria; Ktedonobacterales; Ktedonobacteraceae. The record is from Rfam.
GUCAGGAACCUCUGCCUCAAGGCGGGGGCUUGCUUCAGCAAGCCUGAACCUGACCAGUCUCAGCCAGGGCAGACUUGAUGGAUAGAAUCAUCAAGGCAAUCGGGCUACGUUAAAUAGGUACGUUGGAGUGCAUGCCGGCCCCAACCGCUACGGUGCAACAUUAAACAGGCGUAGAGGGUGAAGCCAGUGUGUUGUACACCAAACCGUUUUUAACAUUGACGAGGCAACCAUUAC